This is a non-coding RNA of Oryza glaberrima (African rice), 107 nucleotides long. NCBI's taxonomy places the organism in Eukaryota, Viridiplantae, Streptophyta, Magnoliopsida, Poales, Poaceae. The record is from Rfam.
AUAUUCUUCGACCCGACUUGUGGCAAGAACUAAAUAGUUGGUGAACUCACUAUGUGUAGUUCGUUAACUCGCUACACGGUUCUUGUCACAAGACCGAGUCUGAAUAU